RNAcentral lists this ribosomal RNA (468 nucleotides) under uncultured bacterium. RNAcentral describes it as "partial 16S ribosomal RNA". It matches the Rfam family "Bacterial small subunit ribosomal RNA", at positions 28 to 507 of the family's 1533-position model. The record is from RNAcentral.
GACGAACGCUGGCGGCGUGCUUAACACAUGCAAGUCGAACGGAAAGGCCCUGCUUUUGUGGGGUGCUCGAGUGGCGAACGGGUGAGUAACACGUGAGUAACCUGCCCUUGACUUUGGGAUAACUUCAGGAAACUGGGGCUAAUACCGGAUAGGAUCUCCUGCUGCAUUGUGGGGGUUGGAUAGUUUCGGCGGUUGGGGAUGGACUCGCGGCUUAUCAGCUUGUUGGUGGGGUAGUGGCUUACCAAGGCUUUGACGGGUAGCCGGCCUGAGAGGGUGACCGGCCACAUUGGGACUGAGAUACGGCCCAGACGGCAACGGGAGGCAGCAGGGGGGAAUAUUGCAAAAUGGGCGGAAGCCUGAUGCAGCAACGCCGCGGGCGGGAUGACGGCCUUCGGGUUGUAAACCGCUUUCGCCUGUGACGAAGCGUUAGUGACGGUAAUGGGUAAAGAAGCACCGGCUAACUACGUG